UACGUAAGGUGCAGGCGUUAAUCGGAAUUACUGGGCGUAAAGCGUGCGCAGGCGGUUUGCUAAGACAGGUGUGAAAUCCCCGGGCUUAACCUGGGAACUGCGCUUGUUACUGGCAGGCUUGAGUGUGGCAGAGGGGGGUGGAAUUCCACGUGUAGCAGUGAAAUGCGUAGAGAUGUGGAGGAACACCGAUGGCGAAGGCAGCCCCCUGGGCUAACACUGACGCUCAUGCACGAAAGCGUGGGGAGCAAACAGG
Molecule: ribosomal RNA, 253 nt
Filed under: uncultured bacterium
Lineage: Bacteria
Description: partial 16S ribosomal RNA
Rfam family: Bacterial small subunit ribosomal RNA
Source: RNAcentral